Molecule: ribosomal RNA, 347 nt
Filed under: uncultured bacterium
Lineage: Bacteria
Description: bacterial SSU rRNA
Rfam family: Bacterial small subunit ribosomal RNA
Source: RNAcentral
UAGUUAACACCUGCAUUAUUUGACGUUACCUACAGAAGAAGCACCGGCUAAACUCCGUGCCAGCCAGCCGCGGUAAUACGGAGGGUGCGAGCGUUAAUCGGAAUUACUGGGCGUAAAGCGCAUGCAGGCGGCCUGUUAAGUCAGAUGUGAAAGCCCCGGGGCUUAACCUCGGAAUUGCAUUUGAAACUGGCAGGCUAGAGUCUUGUAGAGGGGGUAGAAUUUCAGGUGUAGCGGUGAAAUGCGUAGAGAUCUGAAGGAAUACCAGUGGCGAAGGCGGCCCCUGGACAAAGACUGACGCUCAGUAUGCGAAAGCGUCGGGGAGCAAACAGGAUUAGAUACCCUGGUAG